Molecule: ribosomal RNA, 499 nt
Filed under: uncultured bacterium
Lineage: Bacteria
Description: bacterial SSU rRNA
Rfam family: Bacterial small subunit ribosomal RNA
Source: RNAcentral
ACGACGCUGGCGGCGUGCCUAACACAUGCAAGUCGAGCGGGGACAUUCGACGGACCGGAAGUUUCGAAUGGAAGGGAAGAUGAAUGUCUAGCGGCGGACGGGUGAGUAACGCGUGAGCAACCUGUCCUUCACAGGGGAUAACACAGCGAAAGUUGUACUAAUACCGUAUAAGACCACGGCGGGGCAUCCCGAAGGGGUCAAAGGAGCAAUCCGGUGAAGGGUGGGCUCGCGUCCGAUUAGAUAGUUGGUGAGGUAACGGCCCACCAAGUCGACGAUCGGUAGCCGACCUGAGAGGGUGAUCGGCCACAUUGGGACUGAGACACGGCCCAAACUCCUACGGGAGGCAGCAGUGGGGAAUAUUGGGCAAUGGGGGGAAACCCUGACCCAGCAACGCCGCGUGAGGGAAGAAGGUUUUCGGAUCGUAAACCUCUGUCCUUGGUGAAGAGGAAGAGACGGUAGCCAAGGAGGAAGCCCCGGCUAACUACGUGCCAGCAGCGGC